This 348-nucleotide ribosomal RNA is filed under the name Scymnus kabakovi. RNAcentral describes it as "partial large subunit ribosomal RNA". The record is from RNAcentral. Lineage: Eukaryota; Metazoa; Arthropoda; Insecta; Coleoptera; Coccinellidae.
AGUAGGGCCUGCCCCCUGAUAAUUUAAAGGGCCGCAGUAUCUUAACUGUGCAAAGGUAGCAUAAUCAUUAGUUUUUUAAUUGAAAGCUGGUAUGAAUGGUUUGAUGAAAAAAUUUCUGUUUCAAUAUUAAUUUUUUAGAAUUUUAUUUUUAAGUUAAAAAGCUUAAAUUUGUAUAAAAGACGAGAAGACCCUAUAGAGUUUAAUUUAAAAUUAUUUUUUUUUUUAUAGAAUUUAAUUUAGAAGAUUUAAUUUUAAAUUUAGUUGGGGUGAUUAAAAAAUUAAAUUAACUUUUUUUAUAUUUAAACAUUGAUUUAUGAAUUUUUGAUCCAUUUAAAUGAUUAAAAGAAU